AAAAGUUUAACCUCUAGGACAUUUUAUCAAUGAUGCAUCUUGUUUUGAAGCUCUUUAGAUUUGUACAAAAAAGUCACUGAAUUUUAAAGUCUGAAAUACAAUUUGCACCCUAAUGUUAGAGUACUAACACGCUAAACUUCAAAAUGCGUCUCCUUGCACUCUGUAUAGUUAACGUGUUAAGCUGCACACUUCAAAUUUUCAACCGGUCAAAUGUCUUUCUAAAUUUUUAAGGGUAGAAGUGUCAGACGUUAGUACAUUAAAAAUAAAUUAAACUAAACUAAACAAACCAAACCAAAUGUAGUCUUGUUAAAACAACUACCAUUAUAUAGACAUAAUACUACCAAUAUAUUACAACAUGUUAAAUUAAAAUACCAAAUCAAUGUUGCUGGACAAUUUCUAAUAUGCCAAAUCAAGUAUAGAAUCUAAUCCAUGGAAAAACUAUACACUAAAAUUUCUAAAUCACAAUUCAAAAUUUGUGUUAUCAAUUCCACCUCGUCUUCACAAAAACUUUAACUUCAACAAAGAAAUCAGAGAUGGAGUCUAUAAACUUUACUCAUAGAGCGAACGAUUGAAGAAGGGCUAGCUAUUAAUAGUGUUAGGGCCAGCGGGGUCCCUGGAUCACUACCCUAUAAAUAGGUUAAAUGAAAUAUAAAACUUGGUUAAGACUACUUAAUAAACGAAGUAGUUUUACCUCUUAGGAUUAAGUCUUCCAUUUUAGGGUUUUACAAAACAAAUUGAUUAUAGAUUUACAACAUAGCCCAAAGGUAAGUAAAUUAGUAAGAGCAAAACGACGUCAAAUAGACUGAUUAGAUAAAUAAAAGAGCCUUGGGGUCGUUGAUACCUUAUUUUCUACUUCGUUACUUCUCUUUGCGGCAACUUCUCUGCUGUAACCCUCGGCUUACGUCUACUUUUCCUUCCCCCUUUCUUUGAGAUAUACGAGGUAAUCUUCAAUUGUAGUCCAGAUUUAUUAAAUUUGAUAUGGAUUCACCCUAAUGCUUGAAUUAGAGAUCAAUUAUGGGGGCAAGCGACCAUAAUGCUUCUUUUUUUGACCAAUAUCUGGUUCAUUAAGGUGCACGCCUUUAAGUCAUUGGCGCUCACCUAGGCUUACCAAAGCGCUCACCUAGGCUCCCAACGACGCUCACCUAGGCGCCCAAGGCCCCCAAGGAGCUCACCUAGGCACCCCAAGUCGCUCGCAACAUACUCACCAAGGUGCUUGCCUUACGACCCUUAAUAAAGGCGUAGCUUUGCCUUGCCCUGCACAUACUUGUCAUGGUGUCACCAUGGCGUCUCCUAGGCAAGGCCUUGGCAUCCUUCCACAACAAGAAGCAAUAUGGAAAGUUGGCAACACUCACCUUUGGGGAGGCCGCAAAGGUGCCUUGGCAGCUAGGCGUCUACAAGUUAUUGUGGAAGCGACGCCGUGGAUGUCUAGCUGCCAAGGCGAGUGCCUUAGUAGCUGGAUCGAUUUUUAAGUUGGGUUUCCCAUAUCCCACAGACUUUACCCAUAACUUGUCGAAUUAAAAGCGGGGAGUAGAAAACUAAGUCUUCUACGACUUUUAUUUGUCGAUUACGAAGAGGCCCUAAACAGGACCUCGAAGAGAAUCCCUAAAAAACUUCGAGGUGAAGACGCCUAUUAGAUGCAACAACGCGCGGCGUGAGUCAUCUACGACAACCACACCAUUGUACUGUCGACCGCAAUCUUUUGUUGCAUUAGGAAAAAGGAAGAAUACAAAGAAGAACUGCAUGAAAAAGAAGAAGGAUGGGGUGAGGUGGAGAAGAAUAAAGAGAUUUUCGACUACUAGCUCUGUUUUUUCCUCUCUCUCUCCUUUCAACUUGAUUGCUAGUUGUCAUCCACUAAGAUGUUAUAUAAUGAGUCAUAUUUCCCCCUUAACAAAAAUAGAAUUGUUGUGUUCCACGUGGUGUGUUCCUACAAUCUAGCCAUGAUUAAUUUUCUUUUUAACAAAAUUAUAAAUAUUUCUAUUUCUUUCAUAAAAAUGUUGUAAAAUGAUUAUUUUAUUAUUUUAAAAAGUAACCCUCUUUCUCCAUGAAUAUUAGUUACAAUUUAAUUGUAUUGCAGGGACAAUUUUAACCUUAAAAGUUAUAAUUUUUAUCAUAUAAAUCAUAAAACUCAUUUAACUACAACUAGAUAUAUAAAUGAUAAUUUUUUUCCCUGAAAUUAAAUAUAUAUUGCAUAUUUGGUAAUUAUUAUCAAGGUCUCGUGUAAUUGUUUUAAUGUAUUUUUGAAGUACAAUGUGUGUGUAUAUAUAAUUAUACAUAUACAAUGUUGUAUUUUUAUUACUUGUAANNNNNNNNNNNNNNNNNNNNNNNNNNNNNNNNNNNNNNNNNNNNNNNNNNNNNNNNNNNNNNNNNNNNNNNNNNNNNNNNNNNNNNNNNNNNNNNNNNNNCCAGAGUUUUCAACAACAUACUUAGAUUUUAAAGCUUCCCAAAUCUUCUUAGCACUUUCAUACGGAUAAUAUAUCUCAAACAGAGAAUUAGACAAAUAAUGUAACAAAUAUCGACGACACGUACGAUUGUCCUUAACAUAAUCUCUUUUUUCAGAUUUAUCAGAAUCAGAUUGUUCAAUAAUUUCAAUUGCAGCAGGAGUAACAUCAUUAACAGUAACAUCAGGAGCAUCCACAUACAAUACAUAUUCCAAAUUCAUGGUCUCUAAAUAAAACAAUAUAACUUCAGACCAUCUCUUAAAAUUAGAGCCAUCAAAACGUUCAAUUUUAGACAAGUCUAAAGUAGAUUUCAUCAUCUUGUUAAUAACUGUCAAAUCGCUUUUUAGAUUGUUGGUAACAAACAGGUUUAAUAGCAGUGCAACAGUCCAAUAGCUGUAACAAUAGUAGUGUAGCAGCAGUGUAUUAACAAGAAGACUCAAAAAAUAAAAUUGGAACAACUUAGCUGUAGAUGACAGAAGCCGAGGCGCAGCGAAUGCUACUGUCCUAAAAAGCGAUUUCGCCCCCACUGAUAACAGGUACAAUUGGGUUACAGGCGGUCACUCUCUAGGAUUCAACGGCGAAAUCUCCGAUUGUGUGUGCUCACAGAAGGAGAUUCUGGACUUGUCUAUGUGGAUUGCCCAAGAACCGAGUUUAUAUAUAUACGCGAAGCAAGAACAGAGUUUAUAUAUAUACGUGAAGCAGGAACAGAGAUUGCAGUGGAAGAACAGAAAGAUUAUGUUUACUGUGCAGAACAAGUCUUGUAUUUUAUAGGGAGAAGAAGAAGAUUACCGUUGGUGAAUAGAACGUUGGAGAAAACAGUAACGUAAAAACACUAAAUAAGGUUUACGUUAGGGCAAUUUAAGUAACAAAAAAGAAACUCGGAUUGGCACCCCUCCUGCACGGGCGUAUUACGCGCACACACGCACUAAGGUUUUCUGACCGAAAGUCCGAGAACCAAGCUCGGUUAGCCCAAUUCCUUAGCUGUCCUCAUGUGCGCGUGCCCAUCCCUUUUACACAACCAAGUUACAAGCCUAAAACCAACAUUUACUAAUAUACACAAAGAAUGUUUCCAAGAUAGACGAUAUGGGACUAUGAAAAAAAUUAUGAAUUUUCGAGCAUAAUCAACAUCUCGAAAUGGACGCUAGCUACAAUCUUAAAAAUUUAUUUAAACUCCUAAUGAUUAUUGAAACCGAGUGAAAUGGAUAUUAUACUUUCUGACAUCAAAUAAGAUUCGUGCAAUUAAUGGCAUUAACAACCUAAGAAAGUAUGAAUAUCUAUCCAUCUUGUCAAUCUGAAUCAAUCAUUAUGUCCCUCGCUUAAUUUAAUCAUCUUCCCUACCGACGUGUCUUUACAGAUUAGAAGACCUAUGGCUUGAUAAUAACCAAAUAGCAUCAUUAGUUGGUAUUGGAAGUGCAGUUGGUGGUUCUAGACUGAAGCUCAUAUCCAUCUCUCUUGAUCAGAAUCCAUGUGUAAGCUUAUCUACCACUAGAAGGAAGUAAAUUUCCAAAUUAUAGCCUCUAUUUGCUUAUAUUCAAUUCUUUGUUGACAUUUCAUCUUAGUUUCCUUUCUAAGCCGAGCUGUUUGAAAUUUACGUUGUUUUAUUUGAAUCUUAUUUGAUAUGGGAUUUUAUUCUCUUUUGACAACUUAACUUUUAGCGAGCCGAGACGAGGCGAGACGAGGCUAGAUGCCAAGCGAUGAGUCGUCUAGUGCAAAUUAUACAUGUGUAAACUAUGUGUGUGUGUGUGUAUAAGGGAUUGAUACACUGCCCAAGCUGGAUGUGGCCUUAUUUUUGGCCAGCUGAUUUCUUACCGUCCAUCUAAGAAACGAGCCGCGGUCACUUAAAGUAUGCGCAAGUAAUUUUUACGGAAUGUUUGAAGUAUCCGCAACUAAUCUGCAUAACUUUUUACGUUAAAAUAUCCAUAAGGGUGAGAACACUCGUUUUCUCUCCUAAAAUUAAUCUUUCACUUUCUUCGGUAAAACUUCAAAAUCCAUUAUCUUUGUCAUUACGAAUCCAAAAUUGUUGAUCUAUAUAUCAUUGGAAACGUCUUGAAAAGUUCAUCAAAACAAGAGUCAUUGUUGAUAUGUUUUGAAGUAGUUACAAUGCCAAAAGUUAUAGCCAAAGACUGCAACAGUGUAUUACAAAAAUACAAAAGUUUAACCUCUAGGUCAUUUUAUCAAUGAUGCAUCUUGUUUUGAAGCUCUUUGGAUUUGUACAAAAAAGUCACUGAAUUUUAAAGUCUGAAAUACAAUUUGCACCCUAAUGUUAGAGUACUAACACGCUAAACUUCAAAAUGCGUCUCCUUGCACUCUGUAUAGUUAACGUGUUAAGCUGCACACUUCAAAUUUUCAACCGGUCAAAUGUCUUUCUCAAUUUUUAAGGGUAGAAGUGUCAGACGUUAGUACAUUAAAAAUAAAUUAAACAAAACUAAACAAACCAAACCAAAUGUAGUCUUGUUAAAACAAACUACCAUUAUAUAGACACAAUACUACCAAUAUAUUACAACAUGUUAAAUUAAAAUACCAAAUCAAUGUUGCUUGACAAUUUCUAAUAUGCCAAAUCAAGUAAAGAAUCUAAUCCAUGGAAAAACAAUACACUAAAAUUUCUAAAUCACAAUUCAAAAUUUGUGUUAUCAAUUCCACCUCGUCUUCACAAAAACUUUAACUUCAACAAAGAAAUUAGAGAUGGAGUCUAUAAACUUUACUCAUAGAGCGAACGAUUGAAGAAGGGCUAGCUAUUAAUAGUGUCAGGGCCAGCGGGGUCCCUAGAUCACUACCCUAUAAAUAGGUUAAAUGAAAUAUAAAACUUGGCUAAGACUACUUAAUAAACGAAGUAGUUUUACCUCUUAGGAUUAAGUCUUCCAUUUUAGGGUUUUACAAAACAAAUUGAUUAUAGAUUUACAACAUAGCCCAAAGGUAAGUAAAUUAGUAAGAGCAAAACGACGUCAAAUAGUUUGAUUAGAUAAAUAAAAGAGCCUUGGGGUCGUUGAUACCUUAUUUUCUAUUUCGUUACUUCUCUUUGCGGCAACUUCUCUGCUGUAACCCUCGGCUUACGUCUACUUUUCCUUCCCCCUCUCUUUGAGAUAUACG
RNAcentral lists this long non-coding RNA (5525 nucleotides) under Panax ginseng (ginseng). Its description in RNAcentral is "long non-coding RNA (PGIN_LNC011103)". The record is from RNAcentral. Lineage: Eukaryota; Viridiplantae; Streptophyta; Magnoliopsida; Apiales; Araliaceae.